This 693-nucleotide ribosomal RNA is filed under the name Salmonella enterica. RNAcentral's name for it is "partial 23S ribosomal RNA". It matches the Rfam family "Bacterial large subunit ribosomal RNA", at positions 2111 to 2803 of the family's 2925-position model. The record is from RNAcentral. Lineage: Bacteria; Pseudomonadati; Pseudomonadota; Gammaproteobacteria; Enterobacterales; Enterobacteriaceae.
UUGACACUGAACAUUGAGCCUUGAUGUGUAGGAUAGGUGGGAGGCUUUGAAGCGUGGACGCCAGUCUGCGUGGAGCCGACCUUGAAAUACCACCCUUUAAUGUUUGAUGUUCUAACGUGGACCCGUGAUCCGGGUUGCGGACAGUGUCUGGUGGGUAGUUUGACUGGGGCGGUCUCCUCCUAAAGAGUAACGGAGGAGCACGAAGGUUGGCUAAUCCUGGUCGGACAUCAGGAGGUUAGUGCAAUGGCAUAAGCCAGCUUGACUGCGAGCGUGACGGCGCGAGCAGGUGCGAAAGCAGGUCAUAGUGAUCCGGUGGUUCUGAAUGGAAGGGCCAUCGCUCAACGGAUAAAAGGUACUCCGGGGAUAACAGGCUGAUACCGCCCAAGAGUUCAUAUCGACGGCGGUGUUUGGCACCUCGAUGUCGGCUCAUCACAUCCUGGGGCUGAAGUAGGUCCCAAGGGUAUGGCUGUUCGCCAUUUAAAGUGGUACGCGAGCUGGGUUUAGAACGUCGUGAGACAGUUCGGUCCCUAUCUGCCGUGGGCGCUGGAGAACUGAGGGGGGCUGCUCCUAGUACGAGAGGACCGGAGUGGACGCAUCACUGGUGUUCGGGUUGUCAUGCCAAUGGCACUGCCCGGUAGCUAAAUGCGGAAGAGAUAAGUGCUGAAAGCAUCUAAGCACGAAACUUGCCCCGAG